Molecule: ribosomal RNA, 265 nt
Filed under: uncultured Sphingobacterium sp.
Lineage: Bacteria; Pseudomonadati; Bacteroidota; Sphingobacteriia; Sphingobacteriales; Sphingobacteriaceae
Description: partial 16S ribosomal RNA
Rfam family: Bacterial small subunit ribosomal RNA
Source: RNAcentral
GAGUUUGAUCCUGGCUCAGGAUGAACGCUAGCGGCAGGCCUAAUACAUGCAAGUCGAGGGGCAGCACAGGUAGCAAUACUGGGUGGCGACCGGCAAACGGGUGCGGAACACGUACGCAACCUUCCUUUAAGUGGGGAAUAGCCCAGGAGAAAUUUGGAUUAAUACCCCGUAAUAUCAUGGAGAGGCAUCUCUUUGUGAUUAAAGCUCCGGCGCUUAAAGAUGGGCGUGCGUCUGAUUAGGUAGUUGGUGAGGUAACGGCGUCACC